UCCACUGACACAGGCUUCUCCCUGCCGGGCAGCCGCUGAUCACGCGAGGCCCCGCGCGCCCAUUGGCCCGUGCCUCACCUUUGCUGCUGAUUGGCUGGCCGCUGGCUCCGCCCCCGCCCGCGGCGCGGGGCAGGCAGAGAGGCUAACAGAAUGGGGAGGGGGCAGACGGCUCGGAGCGCGGCGGCGGCGAGAGCGACGUCGGGUGUCUCUGGGCGCACGUCUGUGGCCAGGCAGCUCAGCAGCCUAGCACCCCAACAGACAGUCACGUCUACGUCGUCGCCGGCAGCCAGACAGCCAACCAUGCUCAACUUCGGUGCCUCUCUCCAGCAGGCUGCGGAGGAAAGGAUGGAAAUGAUUUCUGAAAAAUCAAAAGAAAAUAUGUAUUCCUGGAACAAAACUGCAGAGAAGAGUGAUUUUGAAGCUGUGGAAGCACUUAUCUCAAUGAGCUGCAGUUGGAACUCUGACUUUAAGAAGUACAUUGAAAAUAGACCUGUGACCCCAGUGUCUGAUAUGUCAGAAGAAAAUCUACUUCCAGGCACACCUGAGUUUCAUACAAUCCCAGCUUUUUGUUUGACUCCACCUUAUAGUCCUUCUGACUUUGAACCCUCCCAGAUGUCGAUGCUGAUGGCAUCAUCGCCAUCUACUGGACAUUUCAAGUCAUUCACUGAUUUUUCCAAGCCUCACAUUGCUGCACCUUUCAAGGAGGAAGAGAAGAGUCCAUUACCUGCUCCUAAACUCCCCAAGGCUCAGGCAACAAGCGUGAUUCGUCAUACAGCCGAUGCCCAUCUGUGUAACCACCGGUCCUGCCCCGUGAAAGCAACCAGCAUUCUCAACUCUCAGGACAAUUCUUUUCGAAGAAGAACCCACCUAAAUGUUGAGGCUGUUAGAAAGAACGUACCAUGUGCAGCUGUGUCCCCAAACAGGUCCACAUGUGAGCGAAACACAGUGGCAGAUACUGAUGAGAAAGCACGUGCUGCACUUUAUGACUUUUCUGUGCCUUCCUCAGAGACAGUUAUCUGCAGGUCCCAGCCAGCUCCCGUGUCCCCACAGCAGAAGUCGGUGCUGGUUUCGCCACCUGCAGUCUCCACAGGGGGAGUGCCACCUAUGCCAGUUCUCUGCCAGAUGGUUCCCCUCCCUGCAAAUAACCCUGUGGUGACAAAUAGUCGUUCCCAACACUCCACCCAGUCAGCCACCUGCUGUCUGCCCACCUGUCGUGCUCAUGGGCACCCAUGUGGCCAAAGGUGCCGUCAUGUUUGUUGUUCCCCAGCCUGUUGUACAUACAGAACCCAAAGCCUUCCUCAGUGGUGAGCCCAAAUGGCACCAGACUUUCUCCCAUCGCCCCUGCUCCAGGCUUUUCCCCUUCCACAGCGAAAGUCACCCCUCCGAUUGACUCGUUGAGGAUAAGAAGUCAUAUCUGUAGCCAUCCAGGAUGUGGGAAGACCUACUUUAAAAGUUCUCAUUUGAAAGCCCACAUGAGAACUCAUACAGGAGAAAAACCUUUCAGCUGCAGCUGGAAAGGUUGUGAACGGAGGUUUGCCCGUUCCGAUGAACUGUCCAGACACAGACGAACCCACACAGGUGAGAAGAAAUUUGCCUGUCCCAUGUGUGAUCGGCGGUUCAUGAGGAGUGACCACUUGACCAAGCAUGCCCGGCGCCAUCUGUCAGCCAAGAAGCUACCAAACUGGCAAAUGGAAGUGAGCAAACUAAAUGACAUUGCUCUCCCUCCAACCUCUGCUCCCACGCAGUGAUAGGUCAGAAGGUGAAGAAACAGAACUCACUUUGGUCACAGCCCAAAGCUGGUGGAACUAUUUUGAAAAAGCUUCCACUGCAAGUCUGUGGCCCUCACUGUGGGCUGAAAGCAAAAGCCCCUACAGCCUGGGGCAAAGGCCCAGCCCUAGUUAAGGUGACAAGGAGCACUGAGGCCACAGGCAGGUCACAGAAUGGCAGGUUUCAUUUCUUAUCACAUAAGAGAGAUGAGAAAACUUUUAUUCUUUUGAAUACUCUUGGAAGGUUUCAGAUGAGGUCAACACAGGUAGCACAGAUUUUGAAUUUGUGUGCAUAAUUAUUUGUUACUUUUGCUGUUCAUACUUGAGACCAACUUUUCAAUGUGAGUCUCUCCUAAAGCCCUGGUUUCAAGAGCGCAGAGACUGGAAAUAAACAUUGCAGUACAGAGAUGGAAAAGUAAAAUUGGUGUGUAUUAUUGCAAAUAUUGUUACCUUUCCCUCAAGUUAUCUUGUUUACUAUUCUUAGUCUUUCCAGUCAACUUUGUGAACAUAGUGGUUAAAUAUAUCUAGAAAACUAGCAUUUUUACACUAUUACUGAUAACUGGAAUUGAGUGGCUGUAUAUUGCUAGAGAGGGUCCAAAAAAACUGGACUCUUCAUUAAUUUAGUUGCU
This is an RNA transcript of Elephantulus edwardii (Cape elephant shrew), 2395 nucleotides long. It is a transcript of the gene named Kruppel-like factor 10 pseudogene, with no coding region annotated. The transcript has a single exon. Lineage: Eukaryota; Metazoa; Chordata; Mammalia; Macroscelidea; Macroscelididae. The record is from RefSeq and is a predicted model, not a curated record.